AGAGCUUGGAAUUUGAAGCCAACGUAAAGUCCACGGCCCCACAAGAUUCUCUACCCACCACCACCACCACCGCCAUUACCAAUUUUUCUUCAGCACAGUCUUCAUUUUCAUCUUCUUCCUCAACCCUCCGUUUCUCAAUCCCUCUCUUUCUCUGCAGGGCCCCACUCUCACCAACCUCCACAACGUCAAUUUCAAGUUGAAAAUGGGAAGCAAGGCACCAAGCUGGGCUGAUCAGUGGGGUUCAGGCAAUUACGGAGUCGAAGACGACGAUAAGAUGGUGGCGAAGAAAGGGAGCGGCAAUGGCAGUAGUAGCAAGAAGAUGACAGAGGUAAAGGCAGCAGCCUCAGCUGGAUUUGUGAAGGCGAAGGCUGUCGCAGCUGUAGGUGCUCAAAAAGUGAAAUCUGGAACUUCAGUAGGCAUCAAAUGGGUCAAGAAUCAGUACCAGAAAAAGGUCUCCAAAUGACUCUACAAAUUCAUGUCUCUAAGCAUUGACCAUUUUUUCUUUAACUUUCUCUCAAACCCAUCUUGUCAUCUGAUAAUUAUUUGGUUUCCUACAUUUUGUCAAACUCAUCAAUCGAUCUAAAAAAGUAGACAGAUUUUUCAGUGAA
Long non-coding RNA from Cucurbita maxima (winter squash), 608 nucleotides. RefSeq lists it as uncharacterized. The record is from RefSeq and is a predicted model, not a curated record. NCBI's taxonomy places the organism in Eukaryota, Viridiplantae, Streptophyta, Magnoliopsida, Cucurbitales, Cucurbitaceae. The transcript is spliced from 2 exons.